CUACGGGGUGCUCCAGUGGGGAAUAUUGCACAAUGGAGGAAACUCUGAUGCAGCAACGCCGCGUGGAGGAUGACACUUUUCGGGGCGUAAACUCCUUUUAUAUAGGAAGAAGAUGACGGUACUAUAUGAAUAAGCGCCGGCUAACUCCGUGCCAGCAGCCGCGGUAAUACGGAGGGCGCAAGCGUUACUCGGAAUCACUGGGCGUAAAGAGCGUGUAGGCGGAUUAAAAAGUCAGAAGUGAAAUCCUAUAGCGUAACUAUAGAACUGCUUCUGAAACUCUUAAUCUAGAAUAUGGGAGAGGUAGAUGGAAUUUCUGGUGUAGGGGUAAAAUCCGUAGAGAUCAGAAGGAAUACCGAUUGCGAAGGCGAUCUACUAGAACAUUAUUGACGCUGCGACGCGAAAGCGUGGGGAGCAAACAGGAUUAGAUACCCUCGUAGUC
Molecule: ribosomal RNA, 439 nt
Filed under: uncultured bacterium
Lineage: Bacteria
Description: partial 16S ribosomal RNA
Rfam family: Bacterial small subunit ribosomal RNA
Source: RNAcentral